AAUCAACGCUGGCGGCGUGCCUCAGACAUGCAAGUCGAACGCGAAAGUCCCCUUCGGGGGACAAGUAGAGUGGCGCACGGGUGAGUAACACGUGGGUAAUUUACCUUCGGGUGGGGAAUAACAGUCGGAAACGACUGCUAAUACCGCAUGAUGCAGCGGCACCACAUGGUGACAGUUGUUAAAGCGGGGGAGUCGCAAGACCUCGCGCCUGAAGAGAAGCCCGCGGCAGAUUAGCUAGUUGGUAAGGUAAUGGCUUACCAAGGCAACGAUCUGUAGCCGGCCUGAGAGGGCGGUCGGCCACACUGACACUGAAUAACGGGUCAGACUCCUACGGGAGGCAGCAGUCGGGAAUUUUGGGCAAUGGGCGCAAGCCUGACCCAGCAACGCCGCGUGAAGGAUGAAGUAUUUC
This 409-nucleotide ribosomal RNA is filed under the name uncultured bacterium. RNAcentral describes it as "bacterial SSU rRNA". It matches the Rfam family "Bacterial small subunit ribosomal RNA", at positions 32 to 419 of the family's 1533-position model. The record is from RNAcentral.